UGCGCAGGUGGAACUUUAAGUCAGUGGUGAAAUCUUGCCGCUUAACGGUAAAAUUGCCAUUGAUACUGAAGUUCUUGAAUAUGGUUGAGGUAGGCGGAAUGUGUUGUGUAGCGGUGAAAUGCAUAGAUAUGACACAGAACUCCGAUUGCGAAGGCAGCUUACUAAACCAUUAUUGACGCUGAGGCACGAAAGCGUGGGGAGCGAACAGGAUUAGAUACCCUGGUAGUCC
Molecule: ribosomal RNA, 229 nt
Filed under: uncultured bacterium
Lineage: Bacteria
Description: partial 16S ribosomal RNA
Rfam family: Bacterial small subunit ribosomal RNA
Source: RNAcentral